UUAGGUGUUGAUAAUAACGUUGAUCCACCCCUUACCAUUCCGAACAGGGAAGUGAAAUGCGUUGAUACUGAUGGUACUGCAAUUGUGGAAGAGUAAGUAAAUGCCAGCC
Molecule: ribosomal RNA, 109 nt
Filed under: Bacteroides fragilis
Lineage: Bacteria; Pseudomonadati; Bacteroidota; Bacteroidia; Bacteroidales; Bacteroidaceae
Also listed under: 4 other names
Source: RNAcentral